UGAGUCCCGUUACAAGGACGGAUGCUUGCACAGCGGAUCUGGCGCAAUGUGGUGGAGAUGGCAAGCAAGAAAGGCAGAAUGCUUAGCCAAGUCUUCUGCUCUAGAGGAUACAGUCCCCAGUGGGACACAAACAGCAAACAGUUGCAUGCACCUUCCCUGUCUGGAGCGGAGAAACUUCUUCUGAGAGUGUGUAUUUGCAAAAUAACCAGGCCAACCCAAGAGCAGAUGCUCAGGAAGCAGCCUGAGCUGGGAGUUACAAGAACUCAGCUCCAGGAUGGGGUGUACUUGGCACUUGCUAGGGCUUCACCUGGACCUGAAAAGAGAGGUUCAGUUGAAUCUACCAGGACGUAACUAACACUGUAGCAGAGAGUUCAGUCUAUGUAAAAACCAUCACAAGCUCAUGAAUAUCUUCUUAGACUCGAUUCCUAGAGCUGCAAUCAUCUGUUCAAGAUAGGUGCAUACUUCCAUGUUGCUUUCUUGGAAUCUGAUACUGUUAUUCUCCCAACAGCAAAUAAGUAAAGAAAGAGAAAAAUGUCCAGUUGUCUUCUCCCAAGAGAAAAGAGAAAACAGAGGCAAAUGAAAGGACUUCUCACAGAUCAUAUUCAGUAACAAUUGCCAGGAAUUCAGAGAAGACCAGUAGUGUGUGUUUAGGUACCCAGUGUUGAAAUCCACCUCUGAGGAUGUCCAGCACUUUUCAUCUACAGAGAUUGAAGAGGUGGUUACAGAAAACACUGGAAACCCAUGCACCCGGGAGCACUUUGCAGCAUGGAGCUACAGACGCCAAACCAGGGCAUGGAUAUCAAAAACUGUCUCAGCAGUUGGCAGGGCGACGCAGAAUGCCACUUCAGGGAAGAUCACAGCUGAGCAUCUCUCUCCGGAUUCUGCCCUCACCAGAUCCAAGGCUCCGCCAGUGGAGAUGCUUCCCGGAGAGCUGCACGUCGAGGGGCGGAGCUCCUUGCACUCCAAGGCCAGCCCCAAAGCUGCCAGACACAGCUCCCGUGACUGCACAUGUGUUUAUUUGCAUGUGAGAGGAUUAAUCACAUGUUUCCCAAAUCACAGGUUUUGGUCUCAGACGUGGGCUUAGUAGAUUAUAUCCCUGAAUUAGUAUGCAAAGCAAUGCUCUGUGAAUACACCAGAGGAGAGACUCGAAAAUUCAUAACCCUUUCAUCACCACUCAAUUAUCCACUUAGGUUUUUUGCACUGUGCCUCAUGGAUGACUGUCUACUUUGUUGGAGAGUUCUCAAAAUAACUUGCAAAAAUGUCGUGUGAAUGAAGAAAGCAUUUGAAUAGUGUUUUUGAAAUAUUUUUAUUUUUAUAUAUUUGAAAAGAAGAAUGACACAGACACAAAGACACACACACACACACACACACACACAGAGAGAGAGAGAGAGAGAGAGAUCUUCCAUCUGCUAUUUUAUUCCCCCAAUGCCUGCAACAGUUGGGGCUGGGCCAAGUUCAAGCCAGGGACCAGUAAUCAUGUCCAUGUUUCCCUGACAGGUGACAGAGGCCCAAGCCCUUCAGCCAUCAUCUGUUUCUUCCAAGAUGCAUUAGCAGGAAGCUGGGUCAGAAGCGCAGGUGGCCAGGACUUGGAUGGACACUCCAAUAGGGGAGGUGGGCACCCCAACUGCAGCUAUGCCGCAACACCCACUCCUGAGGUUUAUUUUUAGUACUUGCAAUUCAUUGUUUGACACACUUGAUUGACUAAAAAUGACAACUGAAUUUCUCCAGUGAAAAACAAAGUCGUUUGCAGAAAGAGGCACUGAUAUAUAACUUCAACAGUACGGUGGACUCACUGAGGGGAGGGGAUGGACACUUAGCAGAGGUAGAAGCUGAGACUGAGCAGAAGGAGAGGUUUCGUUGGUUCCUGGGUGCACCUGCUUUGGCAGGGCUCCGUUUUAGAAGAAAGGAGUAACUCUGAGGGCUCCUAGGGGCUGCUUGCACCUGGGGCCAGAGUGCAGCACUAAAGGAGUCAUAUUCCCGCACAGCAUCAGAAGUGAGAAGAUGAUAAGACGGAAAUCUCUGUGCUCGAUUUACUCUCUGGCUUGUUUAUCGGGGUUUCAGUGACGUUGACAGAGUCUGGACGUGGGAAGUUGGGCAGGGUGUCCAUCUGCAUCAGCAGGCACCACACGGGUUGACGGUGAGUGGCAGGGCUCAUCCAGAUCUUCCGAAGUGGAACCAGAGAAUAAAAGUGGCACAGAGAAGAGGGCA
RNAcentral lists this long non-coding RNA (2208 nucleotides) under Oryctolagus cuniculus (rabbit). RNAcentral's name for it is "lncRNA (ENSOCUG00000039289.1)". Lineage: Eukaryota; Metazoa; Chordata; Mammalia; Lagomorpha; Leporidae. The record is from RNAcentral.